RNAcentral lists this ribosomal RNA (497 nucleotides) under uncultured bacterium. RNAcentral's name for it is "partial 16S ribosomal RNA". It matches the Rfam family "Bacterial small subunit ribosomal RNA", at positions 28 to 507 of the family's 1533-position model. The record is from RNAcentral.
GAUGAACGCUGGCGGCGUGCCUAAUACAUGCAAGUCGAGCGAACAGACGAGGAGCUUGCUUCUCUGACGUUAGCGGCGGACGGGUGAGUAACACGUGGAUAACCUACCUAUAAGACUGGGAUAACUUCGGGAAACCGGAGCUAAUACCGGAUAAUAUAUUGAACCGCAUGGCUCAAUAGUGAAAGACGGUUUUGCUGUCACUUAUAGAUGGAUCCGCGCCGCAUUAGCUAGUUGGUAAGGUAACGGCUUACCAAGGCAACGAUGCGUAGCCGACCUGAGAGGGUGAUCGGCCACACUGGAACUGAGACACGGUCCAGACUCCUACGGGAGGCAGCAGUAGGGAAUCUUCCGCAAUGGGCGAAAGCUUGACGGAGCAACGCCGCGUGAGUGAUGAAGGUCUUCGGAUCGUAAAACUCUGUUAUUAGGGAAGAACAAAUGUGUAAGUAACUAUGCACGUCUUGACGGUACCUAAUCAGAAAGCCACGGCUAACUACGUG